GAUUGGGAGAACGACUAAGAUGACGGCGUGUGUCUUACUUUUUUUGAUGGCGAUGACGCUCCCGAGUUAACUUUUUUCCACCUGUAAAACCAGUGGGAAUGGGGCGUUAGUCUACUCAAGGGAGACGCUUCUGUCGCUGCGAUGAUGCUGAGAUGCAGCUGGUCUUUCCCGAUCACUAACUGAAAGUUUGCUGGAGGGUAUGAGAACUCGAUAUCUGCAGCGACCUGAGUAAUGUGAGGUCGCUUAGGAAUAAAAUGGAUGAACUUCGAACUUUAACAAGAGGAUGCUUCGAGUACCUCUUUCAUGAUCCAGAUGGAGCCGGGGAGAGUUGUUCUGAUGUAUCAGAGAGGAUCAUAAUGAGAUGAGAUAAAAAUGGAGAGUAGAAAUUAAAUAAUGCAGAAAGCACAGACAAGCAACAAACAAGAAUACAGAGAGAAAAACGGAGCCCAGAAAUGAGACUCAAACCAGUGAAACACAAGAGAAAAGCAGACAGACACUAGUUAGAUGUGACAGUAUGUAAAUCCAAACUUCUCACAUGAUCCAGAUGAACCUGUAUAGUUUUAUACAGAUGUUCUCAAGAACACACAACAUCAGUGACCUCCAGAUACCAGCAGCUGAAGACCUGAACAACAUAACAGACUCCAUCCAUCCACACUAGCUUCUGGACUCUUUUAUGGACACAUCUGAUCACAUUUCUCAAAAACCCAGCAAGAAUCACGCAGAAACACAAAAAUGCAAACACAUAAAUGGUAAAAAAUGACUAUAUCUUGGGUUUUCUCAACAACCCAGCUUGCUGGGUUAAAAUGUGUAAACCCAGCACGUGGUCUGUCCAAUAUUUACCCAGCGCUGGGUUGCCAAUCGGGUUAUUUUUAACCCAGCCGUUUUUAGAGUGCAGUGACAUUGUGGUCACAGAGCUGUUGAACUGCAAAACAAGCAGCCAAUCAAAGUAGUCUACACACUACAAAACCACGCCCCUCACCGUUUUGGCAUGUGUCCUGUUCUUAGAAUUGAAGCCUUUGCUGUUUGCAGAGUAUCAGAGUAUUAUUUUGUUUUUCACAGAAUCUCAGAGUCUUCCAAUUCUUGGAAUCAAAGCGCUUUUCCUGUUUUCCUGUAUAAUUUGUAUCUUCUCACUAUAUAAAAAUCCCCCUGAAGCUCAGACGGCACAACAUCAACAGAGAUCUCAGAGUUGUGAUGGAUGUUUCUUCUCUUCAGCUCAACACAAGCCUGUGUGACGCGUGUCCAGAGCCCUCAUCAGCGUCGCCCUGGAAACGGAGGAGGAACACCUGCACGCAAUCAGCACGGGCUGGCCGGUCACAGCUGAACCUAAUCAAGAGGCAGCUACAAAGGCCGCCAAGUCGCACACACUGGUGAGACAUGUCUCCUGAAGACCGUCCACUAACAGACCUAUUCCUUGCUUUCCAGAGAGCAGUGUGUGACCGCCCAGCCAGGACGCAUGAGCACCGCACGGACACCCAGCACUCGAGCACUUGGAUUAACGGCAAAAGCGGGUCUCGCAGCACUGUUCCACCACACCAGGACACAUUGGCACGCCACCAUUUCACAAUAAAUGCACCCUUCGGGGCAUUUAUUGAACUAUUCUUGUCGUGUGAUUCUUCAGCCCAUUACACUGGUGGAGAAUGCGGGCAGGUUCCUGAAGAGUCACUGACAAGCGUCCUUUUUUUUUUUU
Molecule: long non-coding RNA, 1687 nt
Organism: Onychostoma macrolepis
Lineage: Eukaryota; Metazoa; Chordata; Actinopteri; Cypriniformes; Cyprinidae
Exons: 5
Source: RefSeq, a predicted model, not a curated record